RNAcentral lists this ribosomal RNA (259 nucleotides) under uncultured Spirochaeta sp. RNAcentral's name for it is "partial 16S ribosomal RNA". It matches the Rfam family "Bacterial small subunit ribosomal RNA", at positions 1125 to 1382 of the family's 1533-position model. The record is from RNAcentral. Lineage: Bacteria; Pseudomonadati; Spirochaetota; Spirochaetia; Spirochaetales; Spirochaetaceae.
GUGAUGUUGGGGACGUCAGAUGGAACUGCCGGUGACAAACCGGAGGAAGGUGGGGACGACGUCAAGUCAUCAUGGCCCUUAUGUCCUGGGCUACACACGUGCUACAAUGGCCGGUACAGAGCGCAGCGAAGCCGCGAGGCAAGCGAAUCGCAAAAAGCCGGUCUCAGUACGGAUUGGAGUCUGAAACCCGACUCCAUGAAGUUGGAAUCGCUAGUAAUCGCGCAUCAGCAUGGCGCGGUGAAUACGUUCCCGGGCCCUU